This 72-nucleotide transfer RNA is filed under the name Toxocara canis (dog roundworm). It matches the Rfam family "tRNA". From Rfam's summary of the family: Transfer RNA (tRNA) molecules are approximately 80 nucleotides in length. Lineage: Eukaryota; Metazoa; Nematoda; Chromadorea; Rhabditida; Toxocaridae. The record is from Rfam by way of RNAcentral.
GGGGCAGUAGCUCAGUGGUAGAGUUCCCGCUUGGCGUGCGGGAAGACCUGGGAUCGAUUCCCGCCUGCUUAC